GAUGAACGCUGGCGGCGUGCCUAAUACAUGCAAGUCGAGCGAACAGACGAGGAGCUUGCUCCUCUGACGUUAGCGGCGGACGGGUGAGUAACACGUGGAUAACCUACCUAUAAGACUGGGAUAACUUCGGGAAACCGGAGCUAAUACCGGAUAAUAUAUUGAACCGCAUGGUUCAAUAGUGAAAGACGGUUUUGCUGUCACUUAUAGAUGGAUCCGCGCCGCAUUAGCUAGUUGGUAAGGUAACGGCUUACCAAGGCAACGAUGCGUAGCCGACCUGAGAGCGUGAUCGCCCACACUGGAACUGAGACUCGUUCCACACUCCUACGGGAGGCAGCAGUAGGGAAUCUUCCGCGAUGGGCGAGAGCCUGACGUAGCAACGCCGCGUGAGUGAUGAAGGUCUUCGGAUCGUUAAACUCUGUUAUUAGGGAAGAACAAAUGUGUAAGUAACUAUGCACGUCUUGACGGUACCUAAUCAGAAAGCCCCGGCUAACUCCGUG
Molecule: ribosomal RNA, 497 nt
Filed under: uncultured bacterium
Lineage: Bacteria
Description: partial 16S ribosomal RNA
Rfam family: Bacterial small subunit ribosomal RNA
Source: RNAcentral